GGCAUGCCCCUCACCGGGGGCCGCUGAAGGCGAUGUGGCGGCCGCCAUCUUCUCACCGUGCCCGCAGUCUGGGCCAAAGAUCUGCAUAAGAUUUUUGGUCUGGGCGACCGCUCACGGGACGCUCCUCCGCCUAAUUCACCUGCUGUAGAAAGAAGUUGACAGCCUUUCUACUUCAGCAAACAAAAGACAUUACAAUAGUCACUGACCAGCUUUCCUGCACCGGAGAAUAGAUCGUACUUCUUGAACAGUCCUGCGAUGCGUGAGUUUCUUGUCCAGAGCAGAGUGACGGUAAGAUUUGGGGAACCGCUCUUUCACAAUGGUUGGCUUUCCAAGGAAAUGUCCUCUGUAAAUUUUGGAUUCAGCGCCUUGUUUGAUCAUCUGGAAAUGCUGAAGAAAAUCUUUGACACGGAGCUUUGCGAGUGCCCCCAGGUCAUCCUGUUGCAGAGUAUCUGUCGCCAUGGUGUAGGAUGUGCAAGAAAAUCUGCAGUGAAAAUCAAACGCAUGGAAAAUGUGAAUCAAAAAUUCAAUACAAGGACCAAACUCAAAUAUUGAAGAUGAUGAAACGCAAUUGCAAAAAUUUUAAAGCAUAGCAGAUCGCGAUAUCAGGACAAAACAAAAGAUGUCUCCGAAGAAAUGCAAAAUUGUCAAUCCAAAUGCCCAGCAAAAGAGACAGAUUUAGACAGCAUUCGCAGAGAUUAUCCGUACUUGGACUGCUGCAAAUGUGAUGGUCUAUAGGACAUUCUUAAUGGGAAAGUAGUGGGCACAAAGGCAUGUCAUGCGUGGUUUGAAGAGCAAAAACUUGUAGUUUACAAUGCCAAAAUUGAAAAGUUGAAGAAAAAACAGGUAGUCUCGGUUUUUAUUACUAUUUCAGUCAUAACGGUCAAUUUUGUAAUUAGCUACAAUUAGGUAACUAACUAAUUAUAUGCUUUAAUUUCAGGUCAUCCAAGUAAGAUGUUUCAUAUUUGUUUCAGAAUGUUUCAAUCCAUAAUAACUGAAAAUUUCAUUCCGUUCUCUUAACUUUUAAGAAAGUUAUGGGCUUUUGACUGUCCUCAAUCACAGCUUUUGUGUUAAUGUAAAAGCAAUAGGGAACAAGAUGCUAAUUUCCGAGUAUGAAAAUUACUAUACCUUUUUUAAUACUGAAGAUAUGAAAGUGAAUCGGGUAUCAAAUUAAAGUUCUUUUUAUGCUUUAUUUGAUGGGAUAAAUUACUGGCUUGAUUUUUUAAAUCUCAAAAUUUUGUAACAUUCCUACUAUGUAGGUAUGUUACAAAACCUACCUGAAUCGUGGCUGAGCAUCU
Leucoraja erinaceus (little skate) is the source of this 1295-nucleotide long non-coding RNA. RefSeq lists it as uncharacterized. NCBI's taxonomy places the organism in Eukaryota, Metazoa, Chordata, Chondrichthyes, Rajiformes, Rajidae. The transcript is spliced from 4 exons. The record is from RefSeq and is a predicted model, not a curated record.